Molecule: ribosomal RNA, 252 nt
Filed under: uncultured bacterium
Lineage: Bacteria
Description: partial 16S ribosomal RNA
Rfam family: Bacterial small subunit ribosomal RNA
Source: RNAcentral
UACGGAAGGGGCAAGCGUUGUUCGGAAUUAUUGGGCGUAAAGGGCGUGUAGGCGGCUUCGCAGGUCUGUGGUGAAAGCAUACAGCUCAACUGUAUUGAGCCAUGGAAACGGCGGAGCUUGAGGCUGGGAGGGGCUGGUGGAAUUCCCUGUGUAGCGGUGAAAUGCGUAGAGAUGGGGGAGAACACUCGUGGCGAAGGCGGCCAGCUGGACCAGUUCUGACGCUGAGACGCGAAAGCGUGGGUAGCAAACAGG